CGUCGUCGUCCGGCGUCGUCCGAAGACACAUUGGUUUUCGCUCUCUUACUUUAGUUUAAGUGAAUGGAUCUCUAUGAAAUUUUACCAUAAGGUUCAAUAUCACAAAAGGAAGGUUGGGAUUGAUUUUGGGGGUUAUGGUACCAACAGUUAAGGAAUUAGGGGCCAAAAAGGGGCCAAAAAUAAGCAUUUUUGUAACUUCCAGACAUAACUUGUGUGUUAGUGUAUGGAUCUCUCUGACAUUGUACCACAAGGUUCCAUAUCACACAGGGAAUGCUGGGAUUGAUUUUGGGGGUAAUUGCCUCAAAAUUUUAGGAAUUAGGGGCCAAAAAAGGGGCAAAAAACAAGCAUUUUUCUAGUUUCAUGACAAUAACUUGUGUGUAAGUGUUUGGAUAUUUCUGAAAUUGUACUACAAGGUUCCAUAUCACAAAGGGAAAGCUGGAAUUGAGUUUGGGGGUAAUUGCCCGAAACGUUUAGGAAUUGGGGACCAAAAAGGGGCCAAAAAAGACAUUUUUCUAGUUUCCAGACAAUAACUUGUGUUCAAGUGUAUGGAUCUCUCUGAAAUUGUACUGCAAGGUACCAUACCACAAAGGGAAGGCUGGGAUUGAGUUUGGGGAUGAUGAAUCAUAAGGGGGUUCAAAAAAUUUGGGGGGGGGGAUUUUUUUUUUUUUUUUCCUUUUUUUUUUCUUUUAAAAUUUUCUAUUUUAAAUUGGUUAUUUCUGAUUUAUAUUUAAAAGCAAAUAAUAAUGAUAUGGUAGGAGAUACACACUAAACAGGAUGUGUAAAUUAUUAUAUAAUAAGUAUUGUGCAAUAGCAAGAAAUUUUCUAUUGCACAAUAGCAAGAAAUCUUCAAUUGCACAGUAUUGCGCAAUAGCAAGAAAUAUCCAAUAGCACAAUAUUGCGCAAUAGCAAGAAAUUGUCAAUUGUACAGUAUUGCGCAAUAGCAAGAAAUAUUCAAUUACACAGUAUUUUGCAAAAGAAGAUACUUCGUAUAAAUUGCUUAUUUCUUGACCAAUUUCAAUGGGGUUUUAUUCUUGAAUUCUUGGGGUUCUUUAAUAUGCUGAAUCUAACCGUGUAUUAAGUUUUUGGAUUUUGGGCCCCGUUUUUAAAUUGGUCCACAUUGAGGUCCAAAGGGUCCAAAAUUAAACUUUGUUUGAUUUCAUCAAAAAUUGAAUUAUUGGGGUUCUUUGAUAUGCCGAAUCUAACCGUGUAUUUAGAUUCUUAAUUUUUGGUUCCGUUUUCAAAUUGGUCUACAUUAAGGUCCAAAGGGUCCAAAAUUAAACUAAGUUUGAUUUUAACAAAAAUUGAAUUCUUAGGGUUCUUUGAUAUGCUGAAUCUAAACAUGUAUUUAGAUUUUUGAUUAUGGGCCCUGUUUUCAAGUUGGUUCAAAUCGGGGUCCAAAAUUAAACUUUGUUUGAUUUCAACAAAAA
Molecule: long non-coding RNA, 1427 nt
Organism: Mytilus californianus (California mussel)
Lineage: Eukaryota; Metazoa; Mollusca; Bivalvia; Mytilida; Mytilidae
Exons: 2
Source: RefSeq, a predicted model, not a curated record